RNAcentral lists this ribosomal RNA (1271 nucleotides) under Henriciella marina. Its description in RNAcentral is "bacterial SSU rRNA". It matches the Rfam family "Bacterial small subunit ribosomal RNA", at positions 127 to 1453 of the family's 1533-position model. Lineage: Bacteria; Pseudomonadati; Pseudomonadota; Alphaproteobacteria; Hyphomonadales; Hyphomonadaceae. The record is from RNAcentral.
UGCCUUUCACUACGGAAUAGCUUCUGGAAACGGAAGGUAAUACCGAAUACGCCCUUCGGGGGAAAGAUUUAUCGGUGAAAGAUCGGCCCGCGUUAGAUUAGUUUGUUGGUGGGGUAAUGGCCUACCAAGACUACGAUCUAUAACUGGUCUGAGAGGAUGAUCAGCCACGCUGGGACUGAGACACGGCCCGGACUCCAACGGGAGGCAGCAGUGGGGAAUCUUGCACAAUGGGCGAAAGCCUGAUGCAGCCAUGCCGCGUGAAUGAUGAAGGCCUUAGGGUUGUAAAAUUCUUUCGCCAGGGAUGAUAAUGACAGUACCUGGUAAAGAAGCCCCGGCUAACUUCGUGCCAGCAGCCGCGGUAAUACGAAGGGGGCUAGCGUUGUUCGGAAUUACUGGGCGUAAAGCGCGCGUAGGCGGGCUGUUAAGCCAGAUGUGAAAGCCCAGAGCUCAACUCUGGAAUUGCAUUUGGAACUGGCAGCCUAGAGACCAGGAGAGGUUAGCGGAAUACCGAGUGUAGAGGUGAAAUUCGUAGAUAUUCGGUGGAACACCAGUGGCGAAGGCGGCUAACUGGACUGGUACUGACGCUGAGGCGCGAAAGUGUGGGGAGCAAACAGGAUUAGAUACCCUGGUAGUCCACACCGUAAACGAUGAAUGCUAGUUGUCUGUGUGCAUGCAUACAGGUGACGCAGCUAACGCAUUAAGCAUUCCGCCUGGGGAGUACGGCCGCAAGGUUAAAACUCAAAGAAAUUGACGGGGGCCCGCACAAGCGGUGGAGCAUGUGGUUUAAUUCGAAGCAACGCGCAGAACCUUACCCGCGUUUGACAUGCCCUGUUUGGUUACCAGAGAUGGUUUCCUUCAUUUAGUUGGCAGGUGCACAGGUGCUGCAUGGCUGUCGUCAGCUCGUGUCGUGAGAUGUUGGGUUAAGUCCCGCAACGAGCGCAACCCUUAUCCUUAGUUGCCAGCACGUUUGGGUGGGCACUCUAAGGAAACUGCCGGUGCUAAGCCGGAGGAAGGCGGGGAUGACAUCAAGUCCUUCAUGGCCCUUACACGCGGGGCUACACACGUGCUACAAUGGCAGUGACAAUGGGAUAAUCCCAAAAAGCUGUCUCAGUUCAGAUUGUCCUCUGCAACUCGAGGGCAUGAAGUUGGAAUCGCUAGUAAUCGUGGAUCAGCAUGCCACGGUGAAUACGUUCCCGGGCCUUGUACACACCGCCCGUCACAUCAUGGGAGUUGGAUCUACCCGAAGACUGUGCGCUAACUUCGGAGGCAGC